UACGAGUGCCCCAAGCGUUAUCCGGAAUUAUUGGGCGUAAAGGGUGUGUAGGUGGCGAUGUUAGUCUCUUGUCAAAUUCUUCGGCUUAACCGGGGGUCUGCAGGGGAAACGGCAUUGCUUGAGUGUGCAAGGGGUGAAUGGAACUCAUGGAGUAGGGGUGAAAUCCGUUGAUAUCAUGGGGAACACCAAAAGCGAAGGCAAUUCACUGGUGCAUUACUGACACUGAAACACGAAAGCGUGGGUAGCGAACGGG
This 253-nucleotide ribosomal RNA is filed under the name uncultured bacterium. RNAcentral describes it as "partial 16S ribosomal RNA". It matches the Rfam family "Bacterial small subunit ribosomal RNA", at positions 524 to 776 of the family's 1533-position model. The record is from RNAcentral.